GUGCUCAAUUUGGCAACACGUAUACUAAAAUUAGAAUAAUACAGAGAAGAUUAGCAUGGCCCCUGUGCAAGGGUGACACAAACAUUUUUGAAGUAUUUUAUUUGUAC
Molecule: small nuclear RNA, 107 nt
Organism: Rattus norvegicus (Norway rat)
Lineage: Eukaryota; Metazoa; Chordata; Mammalia; Rodentia; Muridae
Source: Ensembl